CAAAUUAAAGCUUAAGUUAAGUAUUUCAUUUACAUUGAAAAGAUAUUAAAAGAAAAUUAAUUAAUUUGA
Molecule: transfer RNA, 69 nt
Filed under: Laelia coenosa
Lineage: Eukaryota; Metazoa; Arthropoda; Insecta; Lepidoptera; Erebidae
Description: tRNA-Val
Source: RNAcentral